Molecule: long non-coding RNA, 241 nt
Filed under: Elaeis guineensis (African oil palm)
Lineage: Eukaryota; Viridiplantae; Streptophyta; Magnoliopsida; Arecales; Arecaceae
Description: long non-coding RNA (EGUI_LNC079836)
Source: RNAcentral
UGUCUGUACCAGGAGGCCUUCCGUACUGGAUUUUGGCUCCCGUUGCCACCCUUCAUUGUUGCUCUCUUUCAUUUUCUGAACAUUUCUCUAGUUUCCGUCGUCUCGAACUCCUUUAGGUUUUUGAUAGGGUUUCUUUCCCUUUGUUGUUUAGCUGAAGUUCGACCGACUCUUCUUUUGUUUAGGAACUUCUACACGUUCAAGCGCCAUCCCUCAGCAAAGGAUUGGUGGUACUUCUCCCCUC